GACGAACGCUGGCGGCGUGCUUAUAAGAUGCCAGUCGAACGGAAAGGCCCUGCUUUUGUGGGUUGCUCGAGUGGCGAACGGGUGUGUAACUCUUGAUUAACCUGCCCUUGACUUUGGGAUAACUUCAGGAACCUUUUGCUAAUACCGGAUAGGAGCUGCUGCUGAAAGGCGGGUGUUGGAACUUUGCGGCGGGUGGGGAUGGUAUCGCGACUUAUCAGCUAGUUGGUGGGGUAGUUCCUUACCAAGCAUUAUACGGCUAACCGGCCCGAGAGUGUGACAGGAAAAACUGGGACUGAGCUACGGCCCAGACUCCUACGGGAGGCAGCAGUGGCGAAUAGUGCACGAUGGGCGGAUGACUGAUUCAGGAACGCCGCGAGCGGGAAGACGGACUUCGGGUUGGAAACCGCUUUCGGCUGUGAAGAUGCGCGAGUGGAGGUAACGGAUAAAGAAGAACCGGCUAACUACCUA
RNAcentral lists this ribosomal RNA (468 nucleotides) under uncultured bacterium. RNAcentral's name for it is "partial 16S ribosomal RNA". It matches the Rfam family "Bacterial small subunit ribosomal RNA", at positions 28 to 507 of the family's 1533-position model. The record is from RNAcentral.